Molecule: ribosomal RNA, 734 nt
Filed under: Lactiplantibacillus plantarum
Lineage: Bacteria; Bacillati; Bacillota; Bacilli; Lactobacillales; Lactobacillaceae
Description: Lactobacillus plantarum partial 16S ribosomal RNA
Rfam family: Bacterial small subunit ribosomal RNA
Source: RNAcentral
GAAGGCGGUUUUUUUGGUCUGUAANUGACGNUGNGGCUNGAAAGUAUGGGNANCAAACAGAGAUUANAUACCCUGNUNUUCCNNACNNUAAAAGAUGAAUGCUAAGUGUUGGAGGGUUUCCGNCCUUCAGUGNUGCAGCUAACGCAUUAAGCAUUCCGCCUGGGGAGUACGNCCGCAAGGCUGAAACUCAAAGGAAUUGACGGGGGCCCGCACAAGCGGUGGAGCAUGUGGUUUAAUUUGAAGNUACGCGAAGAACCUUACCAGGUCUUGACAUACUAUGCAAAUCUAAGAGAUUAGACGUUCCNUUCGGGGACAUGGAUACAGGUGGUGCAUGGUUGUNGUCAGCUCGUGUCGUGAGAUGUUGGGUUAAGUCCCGCAACGAGCGCAACCCUUAUUAUCAGUUGCCAGCAUUAAGUUGGGCACUCUGGUGAGACUGCCGGUGACAAACCGGAGGAAGGUGGGGAUGACGUCAAAUCAUCAUGCCCCUUAUGACCUGGGCUACACACGUGCUACAAUGGAUGGUACAACGAGUUGCGAACUCGCGAGAGUAAGCUAAUCUCUUAAAGCCAUUCUCAGUUCGGAUUGUAGGCUGCAACUCGCCUACAUGAAGUCGGAAUCGCUAGUAAUCGCGGAUCAGCAUGCCGCGGUGAAUACGUUCCCGGGCCUUGUACAUCACCGCCCGUCACACCAUGAGAGUUUGUAACACCCAAAGUCGGUGGGGUAAUUGUUUUACG